This 341-nucleotide unclassified non-coding RNA is filed under the name soil metagenome. RNAcentral describes it as "partial contains 5.8S ribosomal RNA, internal transcribed spacer 2, and large subunit ribosomal RNA". The stretch from base 1 to 120 matches the Rfam family "5.8S ribosomal RNA", at positions 35 to 154 of the family's 154-position model. The record is from RNAcentral.
GAUGAAGAACGUAGCGAAAUGCGAUAAGUAGUGUGAAUUGCAGAAUUCAGUGAAUCAUCGAAUCUUUGAACGCACAUUGCGCCCUUUGGUAUUCCAAAGGGCAUGCCUGUUCGAGCGUCAUUUGUACCCUCAAGCUUUGCUUGGUGUUGGGCGUCUUGUCUCUAGCUUUGCUGGAGACUCGCCUUAAAGUAAUUGGCAGCCGGCCUACUGGUUUCGGAGCGCAGCACAAGUCGCACUCUCUAUCAGCAAAGGUCUAGCAUCCAUUAAGCCUUUUUUUCAACUUUUGACCUCGGAUCAGGUAGGGAUACCCGCUGAACUUGAGCAUAUCAAUAAGCGGAGGA